Molecule: non-coding RNA, 531 nt
Filed under: Pongo abelii (Sumatran orangutan)
Lineage: Eukaryota; Metazoa; Chordata; Mammalia; Primates; Hominidae
Source: RNAcentral
AAAAGGAUAAUACCAAGGAAAACUACGGGUGGGGGCAGUGAAUGGCCAACAUGCCUAUAAUCCCAGCACUUGAAACCAGGAGUUCAAGACCAGCCUGGGAAACAAAGCAAGACCCUGUGUCUAAAAAAAUUUUUUUUAAAAUUAGCUGGGCAUGGUGGCACGUGCCUAUAGUCCCAGCUACUCAGCUACUCGAGAGACCAAGACGUGGAAUAAACUUGACAAAUGCUAAAGAUGCUCUUUGAUUUUUGUGUGGCAUGAGACCUCAGGCUGAAACUUCUCAUCUGAGCCAUUGAGGGGAGCCUCUCAUCUCUCCACCGAGAGGGGGAGACCAGAAUGGUUCCUUCAGGCACAUUCUGUUGGGCUUCCCUCUACCUCCCCACUCUGCUGCUUUCCAGCUCUUUUUGAAUUUCUCCCUGCUGAGGAGAGGGAAGACCAGCUAGGAGAGGAUCUGGAUUGAGAAACUUGCCAUGCUUUUCUCUCAGAUGUUCUCUUUUCUCUGAAGACAGCAGGACCUCAUCCAAAGCUCUGUUU